Felis catus (domestic cat) is the source of this 2642-nucleotide long non-coding RNA. RefSeq lists it as uncharacterized. Lineage: Eukaryota; Metazoa; Chordata; Mammalia; Carnivora; Felidae. The record is from RefSeq and is a predicted model, not a curated record. The transcript has 5 exons.
UGGGAUUCUCUCUCUCUCCCUCUCUCUCUCUCUCUGCCCCUCCCUGGCUCACACACACAUGCUCUCUCUCAAAAUAAACAUUAAAAAAAAAAAUUCAUACAACCUAAUUUCAUGCAACAAAUAUCCUGACCAUUCUGCUAUAAAGAAACAGAACAGAAAUAGCAAAGAACUUUUUUUAAAGAUUGUCAUUAAAAAAAUAACAAAAUAAUUACACAUUCUGUCAGUUUCUUAACAUCUAAAAUGACUUUCCUAAUUCACGAUGCUAUGUAUUAUACAGGCUCUAUAAACUUCAUCUCUAUGGGGGUUUCUUUCCCCCAGAAGACUUGUUUUCUACAAACCAAAAGCUUCACUGGAUAACAUAAGUUUUCUCUUACGUUAAAAAAGAGUGUGUUGACGUCAAUGUUAGAAGUUAAUUGAGUGCAGGAGUAAAUAACCUGCAACUUCUCACUGCCGAGGAGCUCCCUCAGGUCAUAUACUCUGAAAGCAAUAACCUGCAAGAUGGCACCGUCAAACACACCAAGAAUAGCUCCAAAUGAGAGAGAAAGAUUAUUUCUGGACAUCUCUUUUGAGUUCUCCCACAGCUCAAUCUCAUGGACAUUCUGUUCAGUCACCCAGUAAUGAAGUAUUCUGCUGUCCUUGACAGUGGCACAUACGAAGAUCAUGUGGUGGUUUAUAAUUAACUGUAAGUGACACAGAAGACGCUGAUACAUUUGAGUAGUAUCACAACUGGAAAUCCUGGAGCAGAGUUGCAGUUCCAUCAGAUAGUUAUGCGUCACUAAAUAUAGAUCUGUGGCUUAGAAUGUACAGUUCAUGAAGAGCUGACUUCUGGAAAAAGCAACAUCAUCCUCCAUGCUAAUAAGGCAAAUGUGAGGAUAUCUUGCUAUUAAGUGAGUCCAGUGAACAAGGAACUUUAAGAACAACAGAAAUCAGUAAUUGGACUAACCAGGAAAAGGGGAGCUCUUUGAAGCUCCUAUCCAAAGCAACUGAAAUAAGUAAUGAAGGCUGAAGAAGAAUAUUCAAAAUAAUGGGUAAUCACUAAACACUUCCCAAUUGGGAGGCCAAGCAAGAAAUAAGUCAGAAUAAGAUAACCAUGACUAGGACCAAACAACGACGACGACAAGAACAACAACAACAACAUAGAGGCACAAACACAAAACGGAACAGUGCACAUGGUAGGUGAUAUAAAUGUGCCAAAUAAAUGAAGAAAACAAUAAGCUGGAAAAAUCAAGUGUCAAGACAGAAGACUCCUUCUCUCUAGACUCUUCCAAGCUGCUGAAACAAACGUCUACGUUGUUUUUCUCAAGGUGGCUGCAUCAAAUCCUAACAUCUCUACCUCACACUUCCUUCUCCUCCCUUCAGUUAAAGGAUGAUGGAAUCAAGCCAAGUGAGCCCAAACCCUGGAUCCAACACCUAUCAGCUUGUGCUCAACUCUGUACCAGCAGAGAAUCCAGCGCUCAAAAGACUGCCACAUGGACCCACUUGGAAUACCCAAAUGCUGCCGCUGGGGUCUCACCCAUCCGUGACUUACAGAAACUGUCUGUUCUCUUUGUAGAACAAAGACCCUUUGUUCUCCUUGUUCUUUACACUUUACAUAUAAUGGGUCAUCUAAUUCUCAUGACAAUCUCACAAGGCAAAACCCAUUAUUAUCCUCAUCUUAUACAUGAGAAACAAAGGCCCAGAGAGUAAAGGUCUUAACCAAGGCCACACAGCUAGUAAGUGGCAGGGCCAGGAUAUGAACUCCAGCAAUCUGACUCCAGAGUCCACACUCGGCAAUCACUCUGGCCUCCUAGGAUUCCCCAAAGCCUCCUGUACCUAAUUCUAUAAUGGUACUUACUCCAAAGCAUUAAUAUCAUUGUUCUGCCUUCUACAAAACUCUUACCCUAACACCUAAGCAAAAGGCCUAACACAAAGAUUGCAGUGGGGCACCUGGGUGGCUCAGAUAAACAUCUGACUCUUGGUUUCAGCUCAGGUCACGAUUUCACGGUUUGAGGAGUUCAAGCCCCGCGAUGGGCUCUGUGCUGGCAGCACAGAGUCUGUUUGGGAUUCUCUCUCUUGCCCUCUCUGUCCCUCCGCCACUCACCCUCUUUCUCAAAAUAGAUAAAUAAGCUUCAAAAAAAAAAAAAAAAAAAAGGAAGUAUGCAUUUAAUCAAGGCUACUAAAUUAAUAACGACUGACCUUCACCUGUCUUCAUGAAGACAUCCUUAUAGUAAUUUCUAAUUUUUAUAUUUUUAAGGUACUGAAAAAUUAAUAAAGGAAAAAUUUUUAUGCCUACUUAACAAUUUUUAAAACUUUUUCUUUUUACCUUUCAACCCCCUGCCUCUAGUACUCACCAAUCUGUUCUCUGUGUGUAUGAGCUUGGUGUUUUGUUUUGUUUUUUUAAUUCUACAUUCUUAUAUAAGAGUGGUCAUAUAGCAUUUGUCUUUCUCUGACUUAUUUCACCCGCCAUAAUGCCACUGAGGUACAAUCCAUGUUGUCACAAAUGGCAAGAUUUCCCUUUUUUUAUAGUGGAACAAAAUUCAAUUGUAUAUAUGAGUAUAUGUAUGUAUUAUAUCUUCUUUAUCAUCCACUGAUGAAUACUUAAGGUUAUUUCCAUGUCUUGGCUAUUGUACAUGCUUCAGUGAACACGAGAGUGAUGUAUCUUU